UACGUAGGGUGCAAGCGUUGUCCGGAAUUAUUGGGCGUAAAGAGCUCGUAGGCGGUUUGUCGCGUCUGCUGUGAAAACUCGGGGCUCAACUCCGAGCUUGCAGUGGGUACGGGCAGACUAGAGUGCGGUAGGGGAGACUGGAAUUCCUGGUGUAGCGGUGAAAUGCGCAGAUAUCAGGAGGAACACCGAUGGCGAAGGCGGCUCACUGGUCCGGUACUGACGCUGAGGUGCGAAAGCGUGGGGAGCAAACAGG
RNAcentral lists this ribosomal RNA (253 nucleotides) under uncultured bacterium. RNAcentral describes it as "partial 16S ribosomal RNA". It matches the Rfam family "Bacterial small subunit ribosomal RNA", at positions 524 to 776 of the family's 1533-position model. The record is from RNAcentral.